GCCGAGCUUGGUAACGUGAGCUUGUGACCCAAGUGGGGGCAUCAAGGUGGUGGAACAUUGGUUCGACUCUCUGAGUCGGGUCCACAGUGGUCCUUCGGUGGCUUGCCCGUUCCAAGCCAAGAGUUGAGCCAUGGGACUUGAGUGAAGACUCUGGGUGUCGUGGCUCCUAGAGUGGUGGGUACUGCGUGAGGCUGGUUUCACAGAGCAGCGAAGACCACCCGCUCUUGGCAGUGGAAGGAUAACAGGCUUUCGCCACUUGGAUCCAACAUGGCCCAGCGAGCCGUUCCUAAUUGGACCAUCACCUUU
Corchorus olitorius is the source of this 306-nucleotide non-coding RNA. The record is from Rfam. Lineage: Eukaryota; Viridiplantae; Streptophyta; Magnoliopsida; Malvales; Malvaceae.